Non-coding RNA from Cyprinus carpio (common carp), 502 nucleotides. The record is from the annotation of a RefSeq genome assembly. Lineage: Eukaryota; Metazoa; Chordata; Actinopteri; Cypriniformes; Cyprinidae.
UGUGGAGAGUUUUAUACAUGAGGCCCCAGGGGAUUUUAAGCAGGAAGUUUCAGUGUGUUUGAGUGUGAAACUGCAGAGACUCACAGUAACACACAUCUACAGCUCAGAGCACAGAGAACAUUAACACACACCUGAUCUGACCGUCAACAUGGAAAAACACCUGCUUCUCAUUUUAAUUCUGACUUCAGGUGUGAUGACUGCAGACCAGAUUAGGCCAAAUAAAGAUGCUGUUGUCAUAAAGGAAGAUGAGACUGUGUCCCUCAGCUGCUCAUAUGACACAAGCAGCAGAUAUGUUUAUCUGUACUGGUACAGACAGUAUCCUAAUGGAGAACCUCAGUAUUUAAUAUUUAGACCUGCCCGAUCAGCGACUACAACUGGGAAACCCGCUGAUCCUCGCUUUGAGUCGACUACAUCAGAAAAAUCUACUGAACUCACUAUUAAGAGUGUAACUCUGUCAGAUUCAGCUCUCUAUUACUGUGCUCUAAGAGCUGGAGCCCAGUGA